RNAcentral lists this ribosomal RNA (94 nucleotides) under uncultured bacterium. Its description in RNAcentral is "partial 16S ribosomal RNA". It matches the Rfam family "Bacterial small subunit ribosomal RNA", at positions 261 to 353 of the family's 1533-position model. The record is from RNAcentral.
UGGCUCACCAAGGCGACGAUGCGUAGCCGACCUGAGAGGGUGAUCGGCCACAUUGGGACUGAGACACGGCCAGACUCCUACGGGAGGCAGCAUG